RNAcentral lists this ribosomal RNA (228 nucleotides) under uncultured bacterium. RNAcentral's name for it is "partial 16S ribosomal RNA". It matches the Rfam family "Bacterial small subunit ribosomal RNA", at positions 568 to 795 of the family's 1533-position model. The record is from RNAcentral.
UGCGUAGGCGGGGCAAUUAGUCAGUGGUGAAAUCCUGCGGCUUAACCGUAGAACUGCCAUUGAUACUGUUGCCCUUGAGUAUAGUUGAAGUGGGCGGAAUAUGUAAUGUAGCGGUGAAAUGCAUAGAGAUUACAUAGAACACCAAUUGCGAAGGCAGCUCACUAAGCUAUCACUGACGCUGAGGCACGAAAGCGUGGGGAGCGAACAGGAUUAGAUACCCUGGUAGUC